AUUGAACGCUGGCGGCAUGCUUUACACAUGCAAGUCGAACGGUAACAGGCCGCAAGGUGCUGACGAGUGGCGAACGGGUGAGUAAUGCAUCGGAACGUGCCCAGUCGUGGGGGAUAACGCAGCGAAAGCUGCGCUAAUACCGCAUACGAUCUAUGGAUGAAAGCGGGGGACCGUAAGGCCUCGCGCGAUUGGAGCGGCCGAUGUCAGAUUAGGUAGUUGGUGGGGGAAAGGCUAACCAAGCCAACGAUCUGUAGCUGGUCUGAGAGGACGACAAGCCACACUGGGACUGGGACACGGCCCAGACUCCGACGGGAGGCAGCAGUGGGGAAUUUUGGACAAUGGGCGCAAGCCUGAUCCAGCCAUUCCGCGUGCAGGAUGAAGGCCCUCGGGUUGUAAACUGCUUUUGUACGGAACGAAACGCGCCGGGUUAAUACCCUGGCGUAAUGACGGUACCGUAAGAAUAAGCACCGGCUAACUACGUGCCAGCAGCCGCCGUAA
This 498-nucleotide ribosomal RNA is filed under the name uncultured bacterium. RNAcentral describes it as "partial 16S ribosomal RNA". It matches the Rfam family "Bacterial small subunit ribosomal RNA", at positions 29 to 523 of the family's 1533-position model. The record is from RNAcentral.